Molecule: ribosomal RNA, 377 nt
Filed under: uncultured bacterium
Lineage: Bacteria
Description: bacterial SSU rRNA
Rfam family: Bacterial small subunit ribosomal RNA
Source: RNAcentral
UAAUACAGAGGGUGCAAGCGUUGUCCGGAAUCACUGGGCGUAAAGGGCGCGUAGGCGGCCCGGUAAGUAGGGGGUGAAAUCUCACGGCUCAACUGUGAGGCUGCCUUCUAGACUGCCAGGCUCGAGCACAGUAGAGGCUGGUGGAAUUCCCGGUGUAGCGGUGGAAUGCGUAGAGAUCGGGAAGAACAUCUGUGGCGAAGGCGGCCAGCUGGGCUGUUGCUGACGCUGAUGCGCGACAGCGUGGGGAGCAAACAGGAUUAGAUACCCUGGUAGUCCACGCCGUAAACGAUGGGCACUAGGCGUCGGGGGGAGCGACCCUCUCGGUGCCGUCGCUAACGCAAUAAGUGCCCCGCCUGGGGAGUACGGUCGCAAGACUG